This 253-nucleotide ribosomal RNA is filed under the name uncultured Acidobacteriota bacterium. Its description in RNAcentral is "uncultured Acidobacteria bacterium partial 16S ribosomal RNA". It matches the Rfam family "Bacterial small subunit ribosomal RNA", at positions 524 to 776 of the family's 1533-position model. Lineage: Bacteria; Pseudomonadati; Acidobacteriota. The record is from RNAcentral.
UACGGGGGGGGCAAGCGUUGUUCGGAAUUACUGGGCGUAAAGGGCGCGUAGGCGGGUGUGCGAGUCUCUCGUGAAAGCCCACGGCUCAACCGUGGAAUUGCGGGAGAUACUGCACGUCUUGAGUCCGGGAGAGGAGGGUGGAAUCCCCAGUGUAGCGGUGAAAUGCGUAGAUAUUGGGAGGAACACCGGUGGCGAAGGCGGCUCUCUGGACCGGUACUGACGCUGAGGCGCGAAAGCUAGGGGAGCAAACGGG